ACUACCCUCGAGUGGGGGAAUAACUUCGGGAAACCGAGGCUAAUACCGCAUAAUACCCACGGGUCAAAGGAGCAAUUCGCUUGAGGAGGAGGUCGCGGCCGAUUAGUUAGUUGGCGGGGUAAUGGCCCACCAAGACAGUGAUCGGUAUCCGGCCUGAGAGGGCGCACGGACACACUGGAACUGAAACACGGUCCAGACUCCUACGGGAGGCAGCAGUGGGGAAUUUUGCGCAAUGGGGGAAACCCUGACGCAGCAACGCCGCGUGGAGGAUGAAGUCUCUUGGGACGUAAACUCCUUUCGAUCGGGACGAUUAUGACGGUACCGGAAGAAGAAGCCCCGGCUAACUUCGUG
This 351-nucleotide ribosomal RNA is filed under the name uncultured bacterium. Its description in RNAcentral is "bacterial SSU rRNA". It matches the Rfam family "Bacterial small subunit ribosomal RNA", at positions 125 to 507 of the family's 1533-position model. The record is from RNAcentral.